UACGGGGGGAGCAAGCGUUGUUCGGAUUUACUGGGCGUAAAGGGCGCGUAGGCGGCCAGCACAAGUCAGUUGUGAAAUCUCCGGGCUUAACUCGGAAAGGUCAACUGAUACUGUGCGGCUAGAGUGCAGAAGGGGCAACUGGAAUUCUCGGUGUAGCGGUGAAAUGCGUAGAUAUCGAGAGGAACACCUGCGGCGAAGGCGGGUUGCUGGGCCGACACUGACGCUGAUGCGCGAAAGCCAGGGGAGCGAACGGG
RNAcentral lists this ribosomal RNA (254 nucleotides) under uncultured bacterium. Its description in RNAcentral is "partial 16S ribosomal RNA". It matches the Rfam family "Bacterial small subunit ribosomal RNA", at positions 524 to 776 of the family's 1533-position model. The record is from RNAcentral.